GCUGCGGUCGAGCCAGCAGGUGGUCCUGCCCCCGAGCGGCGGAGGGCGACACUACAACCUCGCCUACGUUUCUGCAGGGCAGCCCCGCCGCUGUUGAUGCCGGGUUGGCUACAGAACACUCAAAAAUUGCAAAGAGAAAUAUUGUGUUCUGGAAAUUCUUCCGAGCAUUUUUUUCCAAUAUCGUCCUUAUGCUCUUCUGAUCCUCUCUUGAACUGUUGGACUAAAGCAGCUGACGCUUCCACCAGCAACCAGAGUCACCCUGUCCACUACUGUGGGAACAGAGGGUUUCCAUUUGGAACUGCAGACCGAGCCUAAAGUCUGGUGGCCCUUUGGUGCCAGGAUAGCAGAAAUGAUUCUACCAAUGCCAGCGGCAUGCACCAGAAACCAGGAAGGAAUCAUACAGCUGAGCCAAACUGCUGUACUUUAAAACACUUGACCACAAUUCUCCAGUGGAUACUCAACCCUGGCUUCAAAUUCCCUUGUCUCUCUGGUGAGUUUGCUUUCCCUCUAAUGGAUGACCGUUUCACACCUUCAAGACUUGCCUCA
Molecule: long non-coding RNA, 546 nt
Organism: Mustela lutreola (European mink)
Lineage: Eukaryota; Metazoa; Chordata; Mammalia; Carnivora; Mustelidae
Exons: 3
Source: RefSeq, a predicted model, not a curated record